GAUCCUGGCUCAGAACGAACGUUGGCGGCGUGGAUUAGGCAUGCAAGUCGUACGGGACUUGGGGGCAACUCCAGGUUCAGUGGCGAACGGGUGAGUAACGCGUGGGAAACCUGCCCUCGAGAUCGGGAUAACACUCCCAACGGGGUGCUAAUACCGUAUAAGACCACGGAAUCGCAUGGUUCCGAGGUCAGAGGUGGCCUCUACUUGUAAGCUACCGCUUGGGGAUGGUCCCGCGUCUGAUUAGCUUGUUGGUGGGGUAACGGCCCACCAAGGCGACGAUCAGUAGCUGGUCUGAGAGGAUGGUCAGCCACACUGGGACUGAGAUACGGCCCAGACUCCUACGGGAGGCAGCAGUCGAGAGGCUUCGGCAAUGGGGGAAACCCUGACCGAGCGACGCCGCGUGGGCGAUGAAGGCCGUUAGGUUGUAAAGCCCUGUCGAGCGGGAAGAAUCGCAGGUGGGCAAACAGUCCAUCUGCUUGACGGUACCGCCAAAGGAAGCUCCGGCCAACUCCGUGCCAGCCGCCGC
Molecule: ribosomal RNA, 526 nt
Filed under: uncultured bacterium
Lineage: Bacteria
Description: bacterial SSU rRNA
Rfam family: Bacterial small subunit ribosomal RNA
Source: RNAcentral